ACUAAGCAUAUCAAUAAGCGGAGGAAAAGAAACCAACAGGGAUUGCCUCAGUAACGGCGAGUGAAGCGGCAAAAGCUCAGAUUUGAAAUCUGGCGUCUUCGGCGUCCGAGUUGUAAUCUGUAGAGGAUGCCUUUGGGUGGCCACCGGUCUAAGUCCCCUGGAACGGGGUGUCACAGAGGGUGAGAAUCCCGUAUGUGACCGGGAAGGCGCCCUAUACAUGGCUCCUUCGACGAGUCGAGUUGUUUGGGAAUGCAGCUCUAAAUGGGAGGUAAAUUCCUUCUAAAGCUAAAUACCGGCCAGAGACCGAUAGCGCACAAGUAGAGUGAUCGAAAGAUGAAAAGCACUUUGGAAAGAGAGUUAAAAAGCACGUGAAAUUGUUGAAAGGGAAGCGCUUGCAACCAGACUUGUUGGCGGUGUUCCGCCGGUCUUCUGACCGGUCUACUCACCGUCUGCAGGCCAGCAUCAUCUGGGGCCGCUGGAUAAAAGCGGAGGGAAUGUGGCUCCUCCGGGAGUGUUAUAGCCCUCUGUGUAAUACAGCGAGUCCCGGGUGAGGUCCGCGCUUCGGCUAGGAUGCUGGCGUAAUGGUCGUAAGCGGCCCGUCUUGAAACACGGACCAAGGAGUCUAACAUCUAUGCGAGUGUUCGGGUGUCAAACCCCUACGCGUAAUGAAAGUGAACGGAGGUGGGAACCUUUUAGGUGCACCAUCGACCGAUCCUGAUGUCUUCGGAUGGAUUUGAGUAAGAGCAUAGCUGUUGGGACCCGAAAGAUGGUGAACUAUGCCUGGAUAGGGUGAAGCCAGAGGAAACUCUGGUGGAGGCUCGCAGCGGUUCUGACGUGCAAAUCGAUCGUCAAAUUUGGGUAUAGGGGCGAAAGACUAAUCGAGCCAGACGCCUUUUC
RNAcentral lists this ribosomal RNA (897 nucleotides) under Leptoxyphium fumago. RNAcentral describes it as "eukaryotic LSU rRNA". It matches the Rfam family "Eukaryotic large subunit ribosomal RNA", at positions 33 to 957 of the family's 3401-position model. Lineage: Eukaryota; Fungi; Ascomycota; Dothideomycetes; Capnodiales; Capnodiaceae. The record is from RNAcentral.